Molecule: long non-coding RNA, 639 nt
Filed under: Ananas comosus (pineapple)
Lineage: Eukaryota; Viridiplantae; Streptophyta; Magnoliopsida; Poales; Bromeliaceae
Description: long non-coding RNA (ACOM_LNC030452)
Source: RNAcentral
ACUUGUAACAUACCGAACUUUUAAAACUUUUAAGUUACGGUGUACAUUUGGUUGAAAAGCCAUUUGAAUGGUCCCGGUGGAGUUCGGUAAAGUUCUGGAGCAAUCGGGCGUUUCGGUGCGCGUAGGUGCGAAAACGGAACCCGAAAGGUUAUGUUGGACCAUGGACUAAAUCCAGCAUUAGCGUGGAUGAAAAGAUGAUGAAAACAUGCUUGAAAACAAAUUUGGAGAGUUUCGGUUCGAUUUGAAACGAAUCGGAUGUCAAACGAGCGAAAACGGAGCGAAAACGGUGAAAAUGCUGAAAAAUUGGCUAAGUCCUGAAAAAAGGGCUGUGUACCGGUGACAAGAUUUCGUGUACCGGUACGCAGUGUAAAAUCCGAGAAGAUAGCCCUCGAGUUUGGCUGUUGCACAAGUCGUGUACCGGUGACACCAGCCCGUGUACCGGUACGCGGGGGACCCGACAGCACAAUGAAGUCUACUGCAAAUAAAAAUAGUUGGGGGGCUUAUUUGCAAUUGUGGCACACUCCAUAUGUUCCCAAACACCCCUUCACAGCAGCAAACACCUCUCUCCCUUAUUUCUUCUCCCUUUCUCUCUCUAAAAGCUCUCCACCAAAGCUUAAAGAGAAGGAGAAGAAGGUCUUG